Molecule: ribosomal RNA, 465 nt
Filed under: uncultured bacterium
Lineage: Bacteria
Description: partial 16S ribosomal RNA
Rfam family: Bacterial small subunit ribosomal RNA
Source: RNAcentral
GACGAACGCUGGCGGCGUGCUUAACACAUGCAAGUCGUACGGUAAGGCCCUUUCGGGGGUACACGAGUGGCGCACGGGUGAGUAACACGUGAGUAACCUGCCCACAACUUUGGGAUAACGCUAGGAAACUGGUGCUAAUACUGGAUAUGUGCCUCUGCUGCAUGGUGGGGGUUGGAAAGCUCCGGCGGUUGUGGAUGGACUUGCGGCCUAUCAGCUUGUUGGUGGGGUAGUGGCCUACCAAGGCGGCGACGGGUAGCCGGCCUGAGAGGGUGACCGGCCAUACUGAGUCUGAGAGACGGCCCAGGCUCCUACGAGUGGCAGCUGGGGGAAAGAUUGCACAAUGGGCGCAAGCCGGAUGCAGCAAGUCCGCGGACGGGAUGACGGUCUUCGGGUUGAAAAACGCUUUCAGCAGGGACGAUGCUUUUUGUGACGGUACCUGCAGAAGAAGCACCGGCUAACUACGUG